Molecule: long non-coding RNA, 2402 nt
Organism: Prosopis cineraria
Lineage: Eukaryota; Viridiplantae; Streptophyta; Magnoliopsida; Fabales; Fabaceae
Exons: 2
Source: RefSeq, a predicted model, not a curated record
CUAAAUUGACUCCCCCCUCUCUCAGCCACUCCCGUGCUUUUCAUCACUUAUCUCUUCGCUUUUCUUUUCUCCUCUAAUUCAUAUCUCUUUAACACUACGUCUAUCCUUUGCUUGCUCCAUGAUAAAAUCUCUGUUUUCCUCACAAACACAUCUAGGUCGAAUCCUCAGUCUCCAGCCCUCGUCCUGUAUACGCCGAAGAGGGAACUUUUGAGUACUGUUUUGGUUGCUGAAAUUUAAAUUUAAACCGAAGUGACGGGCCAUGAGAGAGAGGGGUAUUAUCUGUGGAGUUUUGUUUGGUUGAUGUUGAAAGGGGUUAGUUAAUUGGUGGAAGGGCGAGUGGGAAGCAGGGGAAGGGCAAAGUUACCUAAAGGGAGAGGGGCCCAGACAGCAAAGCGAGAGUUGGCGUGCGAUGCUAAAUGCUAUGGUUUUCACUUCGAGAUCUCAGUAUUGUUGAAUGGCAUGUGGGCGGGCGCCCCCACCAGUGGCCUUCCAAUACAAACAAACACUCUUGUUCCUUCACACCCCUCCCUGCCAUUUCUUUUACUCUCAAUCUCCUCAUUUGUGCCUCCCUUUCUUUAAGCUUUUCAAUAUCCUGUUCUUCCAUUCACGGUAAAAGCCACCGUCCUGCCCCAUGUUUAUUCAGAAAUACCCCAAAAACAAUAAGGGGGAGAGAGACAGGUGAACAUAGAUAUAAAUAUAUAUAUAUAUAUAUAUAUAUAUAUUACCCACAAAGGCCAGCCUGUUGUGCGUCUGGCGCAAAGGCGCCAGCAUUUAGAGCAGGGAGUGGACCCGCCGGCUCAGGAUUAGGCUCCCGGUACAACACGCAGAAUUAAUAAACUGAUGGAUUCCUUUAAGUGGUUGCCAGAUUUAUUUAAACAGUGACAUAGUGGUUGUAAAACAACUGGUGCUUCGAUUAGGGGAAUGGGAUUUUUAGGAAUGGCUGGAUUCGAUCCCCUCCUAGCUAGUCUGGCUAAUAGGUCUGUCGUGGCUUUGCUUUGCGUCUGUUGAUUCUGCAAUAAUGACAACAUUAUGGUGAUGAUGAUCUCAGAAUAGCUGAGUCCGCAGAAAGUACGUUAUGAUUACAAACCUUUGCCGUUUCUCGUGAAGAGCACAUCAACUUGUAAAGUACAAGACUUUAAGACCGUGCACUGCUGCUACGUAUUAACUCGUUAAGGUUUGGGCUCCAUGAAAUUGCCGAAGCCAGUUGCAACUGAGUUCGCAGAUUCCUUAAUCAUGCUCUUAAGCUGGGCUAAGCAGUGCAGCCAUCAUCGCUUGCCAUCACAUUCAUCUAAACAAGAGUUAAACUGUUUGAUUCAUUUAAAUUUCGAAGUAUGGCAUUUCUUGAAAUCUUGCAGCGCUGGUUAUCAGAAUGAUUCAUUUGAAUUUCUCUCUUUCAUUUGAAACUCCAGUCCUGAAGGCCGGCCGCUUCGCAAUAUAUAUCCAUCAAGGCAGCACAUUUGAAGUUAUAAGCAAUCAAAUGAAAGUAACCUACAUUUUCAGUUCUAGUGAAUAGUGGGCUGUAAUGUACUUAUAGAUUUCAUGCGUAGAAUGAAAUCCCUUCAAGCUAGGUAGUGGACAAUGGAAGCGCCAACAAGCACAAGCACAUGCUCGAGCUGGUUGCCACUGCCAUGUAGCAGAUUUGUUUGUAUCUUGUUAACGUGAUGGAGUUGGCUAAUAUUGUCGUGUUUCAUUCUCACUCUCUUUGGCCAUCGCUUUUUUUUUUUUUUUUGAACAAUUCAUUAUUUCUGGCUUUCCAUGAUCAGAGCAAGUAUGGUAGGGUCACCGAACUCGGAUGGUUUUUAAUUCCAAGCGAUAUACACCUCACACCUCAGCUUUGAAUCUCGACCGACAAGCACCCCAAAAAACAAAAAGGAGAGCGAUUUUCUUGCAACAUGAAAAGUCCAUCUUUCGAGAGCCAGUUCAUUGCUUCUUUUUCCUCUUCUGCUGCAGCAAUUGGUGGUUGAGAUCGAGAACCACUUUUUUCGAGGUUUUCGCUUUGAAGUUACGGGUAUGUAUAGCCGGGAAAUAAAUGCAACUGGAGGAAAAGUUGGCAUCGAUAUAUAUGCUGCUUAUGCCAGAGGAAAAAUUACUUAUGCAGGGGCGCAGGCAAGAUAAAGAUCAAGCCCGAUUCAUCAGAUUGCAUACAUGAUUAUCGUAUCCAAUAAUUAUGGGAGUUUUAGCUUGGUUAUCUGUUUUACACGUUGUAAUUAUAUUGUCCGAUGGUUUUUUUCUGUCCCUUCUACUUUCAUCGGGAGGAAGGAACAGUAAUUGAUAUUAAAGCUGUUGCAAUUCCACUUGUUGAGUGGGAGGGGGCAUGAUCCCUUGUAUGGUCUUUUCACGAGUAAAUAUGUCACAGGGCAAACAAUCUAGAUUUUUUAUCGAUUAGAAAGUCGCUUCUGCAA